AGGUUGAACAGCCACAUUGGGACUGAGACACGGCCCAAACUCCUACGGGAGGCAGCAGUAGGGAAUUUUCGGCAAUGGAGGAAACUCUGACCGAGCAACGCCGCGUGAACGAUGAAGUACCUCGGUAUGUAAAGUUCUUUUAUUAAGGAAGAAAAAAGAGUGGAAAAACUCCCUUGACGGUACUUAAUGAAUAAGCCCCGGCUAAUUAUGUGCCAGCAGCCGCGGUAAUACAUAAGGGGCGAGCGUUAUCCGGAAUUAUUGGGCGUAAAGGGUGCGUAGGCGGUUUAAUAAGUCUAUAGUUUAAUUUCAGUGCUUAACGCUGUUGUGCUAUAGAAACUGUUUUACUAGAGUGAGUUAGAGGCAAGCGGAAUUCCAUGUGUAGCGGUAAAAUGCGUAAAUAUAUGGAGGAACACCAGAGGCGUAGGCGGCUUGCUGGGACUUUACUGACGCUGAGGCACGAAAGCGUGGGGAGCAAACAGGAUUAGAUACCCUGGUAGUCCACACCGUAAACGAUGAGUACUAAGUGUCGGGUAAAACCGGUACUGAAGUUAACACAUUAAGUACUCCGCCUGAGUAGUACGUACGCAAGUAUGAAACUUAAAGGAAUUGACGGGACUCCGCACAAGCGGUGGAUCAUGUUGUUUAAUUCGAAGAUACACGAAAAACCUUACCAGGUCUUGACAUUUUCUUGCGAAGUUAUAGAAAUAUAAUGGAGGUUAUCAGGAAAACAGGUGGUGCAUGGUUGUCGUCAGCUCGUGUCGUGAGAUGUUAGGUUAAGUCCUAAAACGAGCGCAACCCUUGUCGUUAAUUGCCAGCAUGUAAUGAUGGGGACUUUAACGAGACUGCCAAUGAAAAAUUGGAGGAAGGUGGGGAUUACGUCAAAUCAUCAUGCCCCUUAUGAUCUGGGCUACAAACGUGAUACAAUGGUUGAUACAAAGAGUAGCUGAAACGCGAGUUC
This 958-nucleotide ribosomal RNA is filed under the name Cassava frogskin disease phytoplasma. Its description in RNAcentral is "bacterial SSU rRNA". It matches the Rfam family "Bacterial small subunit ribosomal RNA", at positions 297 to 1264 of the family's 1533-position model. The record is from RNAcentral. Lineage: Bacteria; Bacillati; Mycoplasmatota; Mollicutes; Acholeplasmatales; Acholeplasmataceae.